This 724-nucleotide ribosomal RNA is filed under the name Actinomycetes bacterium. RNAcentral describes it as "bacterial SSU rRNA". It matches the Rfam family "Bacterial small subunit ribosomal RNA", at positions 139 to 875 of the family's 1533-position model. Lineage: Bacteria; Bacillati; Actinomycetota; Actinomycetes. The record is from RNAcentral.
UGGGACAAGCCCUGGAAACGGGGUCUAAUACCGGAUACGAGUCUCCAUGGCAUCUUGGAGACUGGAAAGCUCCGGCGGUGCAGGAUGAGCCCGCGGCCUAUCAGCUUGUUGGUGAGGUAACGGCUCACCAAGGCGACGACGGGUAGCCGGCCUGAGAGGGCGACCGGCCACACUGGGACUGAGACACGGCCCAGACUCCUACGGGAGGCAGCAGUGGGGAAUAUUGCACAAUGGGCGAAAGCCUGAUGCAGCGACGCCGCGUGAGGGAUGACGGCCUUCGGGUUGUAAACCUCUUUCAGCAGGGAAGAAGCGAAAGUGACGGUACCUGCAGAAGAAGCGCCGGCUAACUACGUGCCAGCAGCCGCGGUAAUACGUAGGGCGCAAGCGUUGUCCGGAAUUAUUGGGCGUAAAGAGCUCGUAGGCGGCUUGUCACGUCGGUUGUGAAAGCCCGGGGCUUAACCCCGGGUCUGCAGUCGAUACGGGCAGGCUAGAGUUCGGUAGGGGAGAUCGGAAUUCCUGGUGUAGCGGUGAAAUGCGCAGAUAUCAGGAGGAACACCGGUGGCGAAGGCGGAUCUCUGGGCCGAUACUGACGCUGAGGAGCGAAAGCGUGGGGAGCGAACAGGAUUAGAUACCCUGGUAGUCCACGCCGUAAACGGUGGGCACUAGGUGUGGGCAACAUUCCACGUUGUCCGUGCCGCAGCUAACGCAUUAAGUGCCCCGCCUG